AUUGAACGCUGGCGGCAGGCCUAACACAUGCAAGUCGAACGAGUGGCGGACGGGUGAGUAAUGUCUGGGAACUUCCUGGAGGGAGGGGGAUAACUACGGAAAACGGUAGCAAAUCCCGCAUACAUUCAGAUGUGCCCAAAUGGGAUUAGCUUGUUGGUGGGGAAAGGGCUCACCAAGGCGACGAUCCCUAGCUGGUCUUAGAGGAUGACCAGCCACACUGGAACUGAGACACGGUCCAGACUCCUACGGGAGGCAGCAGUGGGGAAUAUUGCACAAUGGGCGCAAGCCGGAUGCAGCCAUGCCGCGUGUAUGAAGAAGGCCUUCGGGUUGUAAAGUACUUUCAGCGGGGAGGCGUUACCCGCAGAAGAAGCACCGGCUAACUCCGUGCCAGCAGCCGCGGUAAUUC
Molecule: ribosomal RNA, 406 nt
Filed under: uncultured bacterium
Lineage: Bacteria
Description: partial 16S ribosomal RNA
Rfam family: Bacterial small subunit ribosomal RNA
Source: RNAcentral